RNAcentral lists this long non-coding RNA (365 nucleotides) under Nicotiana benthamiana. RNAcentral's name for it is "long non-coding RNA (NBEN_LNC035246)". The record is from RNAcentral. Lineage: Eukaryota; Viridiplantae; Streptophyta; Magnoliopsida; Solanales; Solanaceae.
UCUUUCCGCGGGAAUUUCGACCAUUAGAUCCCUUCGAAAGGCCGUCCUCUGGAGCAUUUUUACUCGAUACAGUUUGCCAGGACUCACGAAGAGCAGAUUCAUUUUUCCCUCCACUGCAUAGCAAAACUCUAUCGAACAUUUCCGAUCGAACGGUUGAUUCAGAAAAAACUGCAGAUUGCUUGUGACUUCUCUCCUCCAUAGCAUCGAAAUCAUCGUGAUGAACCACUCUAUCGAACAUUUCUGAUCGAACGGUUGAUUCAGAAAAAACUGCAGAUUGCUUGUUACUUCUCUCCUCCAUAGCAUCAACAUCAUCGUGAUGAACAUUUUUCUUCCCUCUUGACCCUUCAGGAGAUUGAUGUUUCCCC